GUGGGGAAUAUUGGGCAAUGGGCGCAAGCCUGACCCAGCAACGCCGCGUGAAGGAAGAAGGCUUUCGGGUUGUAAACUUCUUUUACCAGGGACGAAACAAAUGACGGUACCUGGUGAAUAAGCCACGGCUAACUACGUGCCAGCAGCCGCGGUAAUACGUAGGUGGCGAGAGUUAUCCGGAUUUAUUGGGUGUAAAGGUCGUGUAGGCGGGACAGCAAGUCAGAUGUGAAAACCAGAGGCUCAACCUCUGGCCUGCAUUUGAAACUGUUGUUCUUGAGUGUCGGAGAGGUAAUCGGAAUUCCGUGUGUAGCGGUGAAAUGCGUAGAUAUACGGAGGAACACCAGUGGCGAAGGCGGAUUACUGGACGAUAACUGACGCUGAGGCGCGAAAGCGUGGGGAGCAAACAGGAUUAGAUACCCGAGUAGUCC
Molecule: ribosomal RNA, 428 nt
Filed under: uncultured bacterium
Lineage: Bacteria
Description: partial 16S ribosomal RNA
Rfam family: Bacterial small subunit ribosomal RNA
Source: RNAcentral